CACAUCUAACAACAAUUACUUGCUUUAUUAGUAUGUUUAAUGCAAUCAUAGAUGUUCUUAAGAAUAUAUUAGAAGAUGUCAUAAGUUUAGAUAAAAAAUCAAUGGUUGUAAGACAGAUGGACACUAUGCAAGAUUUUCAGUUUGUGUUCAGUCUUCAUUUUAUGUUUGAAAUUCUUGCAAUUACAGACAACAUUUAUAGAUAAAGGAUUAGGAUAUUCAGAAUGCUAUGAGGUUAUUAAAGUUGUGUAAGUACGCAUUGCAGAACAUGAGUGACAAUAGUUGGGAUACUUUGCUGAGUAAGGUGAUUGAGUUUUGUGUUGAUGACAUAUUUCAGUGCCCAACAUGGAGGAUAUUGUAGUAUUAAAAGGUCAACCUAGGCGUGCAGCUCAACAAGUGACAUAUUAUCAUUGCUUUUAUGUUUAUUUGUAUUGUCAUGUGAUAGUUUCAAUCUUGCAAGAGUUGAAUGAUCGUUUUCCAAAAAAAAAACUACUGAGCUUUUUACUUGCAUUUCGUGUUUAAGUCCAAGAGAUUCAUUUUCGGCUUUUGAUGUAUGUAAAGUGGUACGUCUUACUCAGUUAUAUCCUUUGGAUUUCAAUGGUGAAGAUCUUUUAUUACUUAGACCUCAACUUGACAAGUUUUUUAUGCUUGUGAGAAUGGACGAAGCUAUCUUCAACCUCAAAAGAA
Molecule: long non-coding RNA, 684 nt
Filed under: Olea europaea subsp. europaea
Lineage: Eukaryota; Viridiplantae; Streptophyta; Magnoliopsida; Lamiales; Oleaceae
Source: RNAcentral